UCUACGGGGGGCAGCAGUGGGGAAUAUUGGACAAUGGGCGAAAGCCUGAUCCAGCCAUGCCGCGUGUGUGAAGAAGGCCUUCGGGUUGUAAAGCACUUUCAGUGGGGAAGAAAGCCUUGGGGCUAAUACCCUCGAGGAAGGACAUCACCCACAGAAGAAGCACCGGCUAACUCCGUGCCAGCAGCCGCGGUAAUACGGAGGGUGCGAGCGUUAAUCGGAAUUACUGGGCGUAAAGCGCGCGUAGGCGGUCUGAUAAGCCGGUUGUGAAAGCCCCGGGCUCAACCUGGGAACGGCAUCCGGAACUGUCAGGCUAGAGUGCAGGAGAGGAAGGUAGAAUUCCCGGUGUAGCGGUGAAAUGCGUAGAGAUCGGGAGGAAUACCAGUGGCGAAGGCGGCCUUCUGGACUGACACUGACGCUGAGGUGCGAAAGCGUGGGUAGCAAACAGGAUUAGAUACCCCUGUAGUC
Molecule: ribosomal RNA, 465 nt
Filed under: Vreelandella stevensii
Lineage: Bacteria; Pseudomonadati; Pseudomonadota; Gammaproteobacteria; Oceanospirillales; Halomonadaceae
Description: partial 16S ribosomal RNA
Rfam family: Bacterial small subunit ribosomal RNA
Source: RNAcentral